RNAcentral lists this ribosomal RNA (2391 nucleotides) under Birgus latro. RNAcentral's name for it is "eukaryotic LSU rRNA". It matches the Rfam family "Eukaryotic large subunit ribosomal RNA", at positions 80 to 1681 of the family's 3401-position model. The record is from RNAcentral. Lineage: Eukaryota; Metazoa; Arthropoda; Malacostraca; Decapoda; Coenobitidae.
UUCAUAAGGGCGACUGAACCGGGAAGAGCCCAGCGCAUAACCUCGAACCCUCACUGAGGCGUCUUCGAGGGGUGUUGCGUUUCAGAGGGUCCAGCACGCCGACCAUUCUCGCCUAAGUCUCGUUUGAAAGCGGCUCAUUACCCAAGGAGGGUGAUAGGCCCGUAUGGCGACUCACCCGUGAGGGAUACCUUGGUCGGCGGAAAGGACUUUUCUGUAGAGUCAGGUUGCUUGAAACUGCAGCCUAAAGCAGGUGGUAAACUCCAUCUAAGGCUAAAUAUGACCACGAGACCGAUAGCGAACAAGUACCGUGAGGGAAAGUUGAAAAGAACUUUGAAGAGAGAGUUCAAUAGUACGUGAAACCGUUAAGAGCCUAAACGGGUGGAACUCGUAGAUCGAAAUGAGGGGAUUCAGCUCAAUGGCGUCGGCUGGGCCGAGAGGUCUCGCAUUGGAAGUGACGCCCGCGCGCGGUGUUCGCACCGGCGCGGGCCCGCCUCCGGUUCCUCUCGCCGGCGCCGGAGGGCGUAUUUCUCCUCGAAGUAGAUUGCCGCAGCCAUCGCUGGGGACGUCGAAGGCCCGGGCGGAUUGGUACCUCGCCGCGCCCCUUCUCCCGCCGCCCUUCCCCCUCCGGGGGUGGGUGCGGUCGGGGCUGGGCGGGCGGUGGGGGAAACCCCCGGUGACAGUGACACCCUGACUGCCCUGCGAUGGUUUAAUGAGUGGCGAGGGGGCCGCCGUUGGCAGGUCGCCGGGGUUCUUCCCCGUGACCGGGCGGUCUCCCUCUGCGGCAAUGGCUAAGUCGGUGGACCACCCGCCCCGUCUUGAAACACGGACCAAGGAGUUCAACAUGUGUGCGAGUCAUUGGGUGCUCUAAACCCAGAGGCGAAAUGAAAGUGAGAGACUGCAGGGGCCCCGCCUCUCCUGUUCCUCCUCCUCCCAAUUCCUUCUGUUCCUGCUCCUCCUGCUCCUCCUAACCCUCGGCCCGCCACCCUCCCUCCCCUCCUCGGGGGGGUCGCGAGGGCCGGGUCAGGGCGGCGGCGGCAGGCUGGUCGCAGGCUGACGGGCGGGAGGCUGGCUGGUGCGGAGGCCGGCGGGGUCUCCUGGGGCUGAUCCCUCGGCCACGCCAUGGCAUCCCCGGCUCCCUUGGAAGGGGCGAAGAGGGGGUGAGCACCCUUUCCCUCCUCUGCCCCGACCUCGGUCGGCGUCCGGCGGUUUGCGGUGGCCCUCGCCCGAGUGCUCCGGGCGCGCGCGGCGGCGGUCGGUCGUGCGGGGCGUCCCCAGCGGGCGUCCCGGCGCCGGCCGCCGCACCCAACGCGCUGCGUUCUCCGGUGUCGGGGGGGCGCAAGCCCGGGACUUGCUGUUUCGGCCCUCCGCGGAGGGGCGGGCGGGGGCGAUCUGCGCCUUCCCGUUUCCGCCGCGGCAGGUGCCGGCAAGUACCUUGAGCAGAUAUGUUGAGACCCGAAAGAUGGUGAACUAUGCCUGGCCAGGAUGAAGCCAGAGGAAACUCUGGUGGAGGUCCGGAGCGAUUCUGACGUGCAAAUCGAUCGUCAGAGCUGGGUAUAGGGGCGAAAGACUAAUCGAACCAUCUAGUAGCUGGUUCCCUCCGAAGUUUCCCUCAGGAUAGCUGGCACUCGUACAUGAGUUUCAUCCGGUAAAGCGAAUGAUUAGAGGUCUUGGGGACGAAACGUCCUCAACCUAUUCUCAAACUUUAAAUGGGUGAGUGUCUGGGCUUUCUUGAAAGACGGGGGCGCGGCGGCUCCCGGGCCGCUGGCGCCGCCGUCCGUGACUGAAGCUCCAGAGCCAAAUCACUGAGUGCCUAGUGGGCCAAUUUUGGUAAGCAGAACUGGCGCUGUGGGAUGAACCAAAUGUCGAGUUAAGGGGCCUAAAUGAAUGCUCAUAGAACCCAAGAAAGGUGUUGGUUGCUAUAGACAGCAGGACGGUGGCCAUGGAAGUUGGAAUCCGCUAAGGAGUGUGUAACAACUCACCUGCCGAAGCAACUAGCCCUUAAAAUGGUAUGGCGCUCAAGCAUUCUCCCGAUACUCGACCGCCGGCGGCACAACGGGCUUCGCCACGCAAGUCUUUAAGCCCCGGUGAGUAGGAGGGCGCGGUGGUGAGCGUUGAAGGUUUCGGCGUGAGCCGGACUGGAGCCGCCACUGGUGCAGAUCUUGGUGGUAGUAGCAACUAAUCGAGAGAGACUCCCUUGUAGGCCGAUGUGGAGAAGGGUUCCAUGUGAACAUCAAUUGGACAUGGAUCAGUCGCUCCUGAGCCCAAGGCUAACGCCUUGUACCACGUCGAGCGGUAACGGCUUCAGACGACCAGCCAGUUCCAAGCAAGGUUAUAAAGUAGUGCACGUCGAUGGUGACGGCGACGGACGACGGGACCGGCAGCAGCAGCAGC